UUUCUAAGGAUUUUAUAGCUUUCUAAGGAAAUAGGAUUCACACUUAAUUACAGGAGAUGACAAUUUUCAAACCUUACUUGACAUUUAUCAUAAAACGUAUAAGGUUCUACAGUCAGGAUGUUUCCCUUUACGUAAAUGGACUUUCAAUCGUGACGUCACGCAUGAUGAGUCCAAAGGGCAUUUCAUCGGCGAGCACACACAGAACAAAACACUCGGUUUGGGAUGGGAUGACGCGAGCGAUGAAUUGUAUUUCACUACAAAAAUACAAAAGUUGUCAAACGCGCCCCGAUUAAAUAAACGAAUUAUGUUGUCCAUUAUUUCACAUUUUACGAUCCUCUAGGCUUACUCUCACCGGCGGUUAUUAUUUCAAAAAUAUUCCUUCAAAAACUGUGGUUAAGUAAAAUCGAUUGAGACACUCCUGUGUCGAGAGACAUCGCACUGAUAUGGCGCAAUUUCAUAAAUGCUCUGAACUGCUUAAACGAUUUACGAAUUCCGCGCCAUGUUAGGAGCGAUCAUACGGAACUUCAUAUAUUUUCCGAUGCAUGCCUACGGCGCGUGCGCAUAUGUACGAACAUACGGGGAAGGUUCAGCAGUAUCCGUAAAAUUAUUGUGUGGCAAAAGCAAAGUUGCACCCUUGAAUUCGCUUACUAUUCCUCGCCUUGAACUUCGCUCGUGGGUGCUCGACUUUAUAAGAAAAUAACCGAAUCUUUAAGGUCCGCAACUCCUCUUACCUACUACGCGUGAAUGUUGGUGGCCGCUAGAACGCAGCGCGGAACUUGCAAGGAAAACUGUGCGACAAUGUGUUACAUGCACUCGACUAAAAGGUAAAACUCUUAAUCCUAUUAUGGGUAAUCAUGUAGUUGAACGGUUGGAACAUGGUUUUCCUUUUAUUCGAACAGCUGUUGAUCACUGCGGGCCAAUGUUCAUCUUAAAUCGAAGGGGCAGAGGAGCUCAACUUGUUAAAUCAUGUUUGUUUCUUCAUAUGUAUGAUCACACGCGCAGCCCACUUAGAAGUGGUUACGAGUCUUUCCACUGAUGAUUAUCUUUUGACAUUAAAACGUUUUAUUAGUAGAAGGAGUAAACCUCACGUAAUCUUUUCCGAUAAUGGUAAAAACUUUGUGGGAGAAGAAAAAGAGCUUUCCAUGGUAAAAAUAAAUCGCAGGAAAUAAUCGAUUCUGCUGCUAAUGAGAGCAUCAAAUUCAGCAUUCCGCCAUAUUCACCUCAUUUUGCCGGGUUUUGGGAUGCUGGAAUAAAAUCGUGUAAAUACCACCUUAGACGAGUAGUAAGUAGGCAAUGCGAGGGUAACGUACGAGGAGUUUAGCACGGUUUUAACACAAAUCGAAGCCGUCCUAAAUUCCCGUCCCAUGUCACCUAUGUCCACAGAUCUCAAUGACUUCUCUCCACUUACACCUGCACAUUUCCUAAUUGGCCGACCGUUGACGAGCCCUGCAAGUGACGACCUGACGGACGAGCAGCCUUCCCGCCUGUCACGCUACGCCAGGAUCGAAUUACUGCGCCAGCACUUUUGGCAACGUUAGGCUAAAGAAUACAUUGCAGAACUACAGAUUAGAACGAAAUGGAAGACGAAGAAAAUCGACAUUACAUUAGACAGCCUCGUCCUAAUUAAAGAGGAUAACCUGCCUCCACUCAAUUGGCGGUUAGGCCGUGUUACACGUGUAUUUCCAGUUCAAGACGGCGUAUCCCGUGUCGCGGAUAUCCGCACAGCAACGGGGACUAUUCGACGUGCCUUUUCGAAGAUCUGCCCGCUCCUGUCAGAGCCCGCAGUCGACGAGCGAAGACUUGAGAGCUGGUGCUCCCAACAGAACA
Long non-coding RNA from Hyposmocoma kahamanoa, 1827 nucleotides. RefSeq lists it as uncharacterized. The record is from RefSeq and is a predicted model, not a curated record. NCBI's taxonomy places the organism in Eukaryota, Metazoa, Arthropoda, Insecta, Lepidoptera, Cosmopterigidae. The transcript is spliced from 2 exons.